Molecule: ribosomal RNA, 392 nt
Filed under: uncultured bacterium
Lineage: Bacteria
Description: bacterial SSU rRNA
Rfam family: Bacterial small subunit ribosomal RNA
Source: RNAcentral
AGGCACGGGGGCCACCCUGAUCGCAAUGCCGCGUGAGUGAAGAAGCCUUCGGGUUGUAAAGCUCUUUUGUCGGGAAAAAACCCGGCUCUAACACAGUCCGGGAGUGACGGUGCCUGAAGAAUAAGCACCGGCUAACUACGUGCCAGCCGCCGCGGUAAUACCUAGGGUGCAAGCGUUAAUCGGAACUACUGGGCGUAAAGCGUGCGCAGGCGGUUAUACAGACAGGCGUGAAAUCCCCGGGCUUAACCUGGGAAUGGCGCCUGUGACUGUAUAGCUAGAGUGUGUCAGAGGGGGGUAGAAUUCCACGUGUAGCAGUGAAAUGCGUACAUAUGUGGAGGAAUACCAAUGGCGAAGGCAGCCCCCUGGGAUAACACUGACGCUCAUGCACGAAA